AUUGAACGCUGGCGGCAGGCUUAACACAUGCAAGUCGAGCGGGGGAAGGUAGCUUGCUACCGGACCUAGCGGCGGACGGGUGAGUAAUGCUUAGGAAUCUGCCUAUUAGUGGGGGACAACAUCUCGAAAGGGAUGCUAAUACCGCAUACGUCCUACGGGAGAAAGCAGGGGAUCUUCGGACCUUGCGCUAAUAGAUGAGCCUAAGUCGGAUUAGCUAGUUGGUGGGGUAAAGGCCUACCAAGGCGACGAUCUGUAGCGGGUCUGAGAGGAUGAUCCGCCCCACUGGGACUGAGACACGGCCCAGACUCCGACGGGAGGCAGCAGUGGGGAAUAUUGGACAAUGGGGGGAACCCUGAUCCAGCCAUGCCGCGUGUGUGAAGAAGGCCUUAUGGUUGUAAAGCACUUUAAGCGAGGAGGAGGCUACUCUAGUUAAUACCUAGGGAUAGUGGACGUUACUCGCAGAAUAAGCACCGGCUAACUCUGUGCCAGCCGCCGCAGUAA
RNAcentral lists this ribosomal RNA (501 nucleotides) under uncultured bacterium. RNAcentral describes it as "partial 16S ribosomal RNA". It matches the Rfam family "Bacterial small subunit ribosomal RNA", at positions 30 to 523 of the family's 1533-position model. The record is from RNAcentral.